GGACUUAAUCCAAGAAGGAAUGCUUGACCGAUAAUCAAACAAAAGAGGUUAAAAUCCUCUUAAGUCUU
Molecule: transfer RNA, 68 nt
Filed under: Cercodemas anceps
Lineage: Eukaryota; Metazoa; Echinodermata; Holothuroidea; Dendrochirotida; Cucumariidae
Description: tRNA-Ile
Rfam family: tRNA
About the family: Transfer RNA (tRNA) molecules are approximately 80 nucleotides in length. Their secondary structure includes four short double-helical elements and three loops (D, anti-codon, and T loops). Further hydrogen bonds mediate the characteristic L-shaped molecular structure. tRNAs have two regions of fundamental functional importance: the anti-codon, which is responsible for specific mRNA codon recognition, and the 3' end, to which the tRNAs corresponding amino acid is attached (by aminoacyl-tRNA synthetases). tRNAs cope with the degeneracy of the genetic code in two manners: having more than one tRNA (with a specific anti-codon) for a particular amino acid; and 'wobble' base-pairing, i.e. permitting non-standard base-pairing at the 3rd anti-codon position.
Source: RNAcentral